This 397-nucleotide ribosomal RNA is filed under the name uncultured Tintinnidium. RNAcentral describes it as "partial small subunit ribosomal RNA". It matches the Rfam family "Eukaryotic small subunit ribosomal RNA", at positions 30 to 432 of the family's 1831-position model. Lineage: Eukaryota; Ciliophora; Spirotrichea; Tintinnida; Tintinnidae. The record is from RNAcentral.
GCUUGUCUCAAAGAUUAAGCCAUGCAUGUCUAAGUACAAGCCUCAGUAAGGUGAAACCGCGAAUGGCUCAUUAAAACAGUUAUAGUUUAUUUGGUAAUCGAAUUUACAUGGAUAACCGUGGUAAUUCUAGAGCUAAUACAUGCUGCUAAGCCUGACUUUUUGAAGGGCUGUAUUUAUUAGAUAACAGACCAAUAUUCCUCGUGUCUAUUGUGGUGACUCAUAGUAACUGAUCGGAUCGCAUGGGCGUGCCCGCGACAAACCAUUCAAGUUUCUGCCCCAUCAGCUUUCGAUGGUAGUGUAUUGGACUACCAUGGCUUUUACGGGUAACGGAGGAUUAGGGUUCGAUUCCGGAGAGGGAGCCUUAAAAACGGCUACCACAUCCAAGGAAGGCAGCAGG